GGGCAGAUAGCUCAGUUGGUAGAGCACCGCACUGAAAAUGCGGGUGUCGGCGGUUCAAAUCCGCCUCUGCCCAC
This 74-nucleotide transfer RNA is filed under the name Planctomycetes bacterium MalM25. RNAcentral's name for it is "tRNA-Phe". It matches the Rfam family "tRNA". From Rfam's summary of the family: Transfer RNA (tRNA) molecules are approximately 80 nucleotides in length. Their secondary structure includes four short double-helical elements and three loops (D, anti-codon, and T loops). Further hydrogen bonds mediate the characteristic L-shaped molecular structure. tRNAs have two regions of fundamental functional importance: the anti-codon, which is responsible for specific mRNA codon recognition, and the 3' end, to which the tRNAs corresponding amino acid is attached (by aminoacyl-tRNA synthetases). tRNAs cope with the degeneracy of the genetic code in two manners: having more than one tRNA (with a specific anti-codon) for a particular amino acid; and 'wobble' base-pairing, i.e. permitting non-standard base-pairing at the 3rd anti-codon position. The record is from RNAcentral. Lineage: Bacteria; Pseudomonadati; Planctomycetota.